RNAcentral lists this ribosomal RNA (395 nucleotides) under uncultured bacterium. RNAcentral's name for it is "partial 16S ribosomal RNA". It matches the Rfam family "Bacterial small subunit ribosomal RNA", at positions 338 to 730 of the family's 1533-position model. The record is from RNAcentral.
CCUACGGGGGGCAGCAGUGAGGAAUAUUGGUCAAUGGGCGCAAGCCUGAACCAGCCAAGUCGCGUGAAGGAUGAAUGCCCUACGGAUUGUAAACCUCUUUUAUAAGGGAAUAAAGUGCGGCACGUGUCCCUUUUUGUAUGUACCUUAUGAAUAAGGAUCGGCUAACUCCGUGCCAGCAGCCGCGGUAAUACGGAGGGUCCGAGCGUUAAUCGGAUUUAUUGGGGUUAAAGGGCUCGUAGGCGGUAUGUGAAGUCAAGUGUGAAAGCUCGGGGCUCAACCUUAAAAUUGAAUUUGAUACUGGCAAACUUGAGUGUGUGAGAGGUAGGCGGAAUUCGAGGUGUAGGGGUGAAAUGCUUAGAUAGCACGAAGAACAACGGUGGCGAAGGCAGCUAACU